AGAUUGAACGCUGGCGGCAUGCCUAACACAUGCAAGUCGAACGGGAGUAGCAAUACUCUAGUGGCGGACGGGUGAGGAAUACGUAGGAAUUUGCCCUUAAGUGGGGAUAACCCGGGGAAACCCGGAUUAAUACCGCAAUGACCUCGAAAGAGCAAAGUGGGGGAUCGCAAGACCUCACGCUUUGGAGAAGCCUACGUCGGAUUAGCUAGUGGUGAGGUAAUGGCUCACCAAGGCGACGAUCCGUAACUGGUCUGAGAGGAUGAUACAGUCAACACCGGAACUGAGACACGGUCCGACUCCGUACGGA
This 307-nucleotide ribosomal RNA is filed under the name uncultured soil bacterium. RNAcentral's name for it is "bacterial SSU rRNA". It matches the Rfam family "Bacterial small subunit ribosomal RNA", at positions 26 to 346 of the family's 1533-position model. The record is from RNAcentral.